This is a long non-coding RNA of Symphalangus syndactylus (siamang), 2273 nucleotides long. RefSeq lists it as uncharacterized. The record is from RefSeq and is a predicted model, not a curated record. Lineage: Eukaryota; Metazoa; Chordata; Mammalia; Primates; Hylobatidae.
GGCCUGGCCUUGUCAUGCGUGGGGUCGCCGCGGGAAGGAGGAUGGCUCCUUGAGGGCUUGGCACAGAUACCUGAUGGUCAGAGGAAGCGGGGAGAGCCGGGUCUCUGCAGAUAUGAUAAAGCAAGAGGCCCUGAGACAGGAAAACUGUCCCGAGUUGUCUGGGUGUCCCCAAGUGCCAUCACAUGCUUCUUCAGGCAGAGGAAGCAUUGACCAACAGUAAACACUACAUGGGGACGGAGACGGAGACAGAGACUGCAGUGAUGUGGCCACAAGCCAAGGAAUGCCCGGGGCCCCCAGAAGCUGGAAGAGGCCGCAAGGACCCUCCAGAGCCUCCAGAGGGCGCCACGCCUUGAUCUCAGCCCAGUGAUGCUGAUUUUGGACUUGGACUCCAGAACAGUGACAGAACACACUUUUGUUGUUUCAGGCCCGCGGGCUGUGGCAGUUUAUCACAGCAACAGUAACAGACCUUGAAACCUGCGCCAAGGGCUUGGCAGGACAUUAUUGGUAGUCCUGAGGAGCCGUCAGUUACAAAACAAGAAAAAGGAAGGAAGAGAAAAAUACAGGUUUGGCCUGGUUUAAUGUUGCAACGGGAGGAUCCAUUUCCUUACCCUCCGCCAUCACCGAGCUGGGAACGGAGGGAGAAGAGGCCCCUCAACGUGGGUUUCUUCAACCUGGACUCUCCUUUUUGUGCAUCUCAGUGUCCUUGUAUUUGCAGCUGGGAGGUCGGCCCUGUCGUUCUCACCCCCACCUGUGGCACAGCAGAGAGAAGGGUGCAGAGGUCUUCACAGUGUGUCUGCACAAGGCUGGCCACCCUCUCCAGGCACUGUCCCCUCAGGGUUCACCUUCUGUCCACAGACCACACCCCUGUCUCCCCAUGGACUUUGUCCCUGUGGCUGCCGUGCCCAGGUAGCCAGACACCCCCAAGCCCAGCUCCACCUGCAGGGACCAGUGCUCCUCUCCUGUCUGGGCCUCAGUUCCAUCUCUGAAUACAGGCUUUGCCCCUGAAUCUAGGGUCCCUUAAAUUUCUUUUCUUUUUUUUUUAGACAGAGUUUCACUCGUCGCCCAGGCUGGGGUGCAGUGGCGCGAUCUCAGCUCACUGCAACCCCUGCCUCCCAGGUUCAAGUGAUUCUCCUGCUUCAGCCACCCGAGUAGCUGGGAUUACAGGCAUGCGCUGCCAUGCCAAGCCAAUUUUUGUAAUUUCAUUAGAGACAGGGUUUCCUCACGUUGGCCAGGCUGGUCUUGAACUCCUGACCUCUGAUCCGGCCUCCUCGGCCUCCUGACCUGCUAGGAUUACAGGUGUGAGCCAUCACGCCCAGCCGGGUCCCUUGAGUUUCUAAGAAUCUACAGAUCAUCGGCAGGAACUAGGAACAUCUGAGCAUUUUCUCGCUUCGUUUUUUUUUGGUUUAGUCUCUCAUUUGCAACCCCCAGCCACAGAGAAACGUUCAACAGCGUGACCAGGAAGACAGCGGCCCUGGAGGUCUCUGUGGUCAGCCCUGCUCUGAGGCCGUCGGGGUCAGGGGCUGCAUCUUCGUGGGGAAUCCCCGACAGCCCCUCGGAGCUCGGCUCGGAUUUCUCAGACAGGCACAUGCCUGGGUGCCAGCUUUUAACUCUUCCCUCUCCCCUCCUCUGCACUUCCGUUCCGGAAAAGAAACCCUUUCUCAGCAGGUGACAACAGUUCAAGGAUUCAGCCUCGCUGCCAGCGUCGUGUAUUAGCUCUGAUAUGUGAUGUCUACACCAGGCAGUGGCGCGGUGAAGUAAAGGGCUAUAAUAAAUACACAAAAUCUGGCCAGGCGCGGUGGCUCAUGCCUGUAAUCCCAGCACUUUGGGAGGCCGAGGUGGGUGGAUCACCUGAGGUCAGGAGUUCAAGACCAGCCUGACCAACAUGGUGAAACCCCAUCUCUACUAAAAAUACAAAAAUUAGCUGGGUGUGGUGGCGCACCCCUGUGAUCUCAGCUACUCGGGAGGCUGAGGCAGGAGAAUCGCUUGAACCCGGGAGGCGGAGGUUGCGGUGAGCCGAGAUCGUGCCAUUGUACUCCACCCUGGGCAACAAGAGCGAAACUCUGUCUCAAAAAUAAAUAAAUAAAUAAAUACAAAAUUAGAAAGAACCGGCUGCCAACUCUACCAAGAGAGAAACAACUAUACAUUUUAUUGUUGAGAAACAUUUUCUUAAAUAAGUGUUUUCACUUCAUUCCUUAUUGAAACAGCUCUUCCUUGACCUGUCGAAACUGCGUUGGCUGUGUUCAACAUAACUAGAGGUAUCUUUGGCAUUUUCU